GAUCUUCCCAAAAGGAAUCGCCAUGGAAGUGGCAACGAUGUGUGAUGAGAGUGGUGCUGCGGUGGCUACGCGGCGCAGUGGAGGCUGAGCAUCAGAACGUUGGUGAAAUCGAAGCUCGGCCAGUGGAGUCGCGGCGGAUUGUGGUCGGUGGACGACGAGGAGCCUCCGCCGGUGGCAAAAUUUCACCCAAAUAAUCGACGAGCUCUCCCAAGCUGCAAGUCUGCAACGUAACA
Molecule: unclassified non-coding RNA, 233 nt
Filed under: Hevea brasiliensis (rubber tree)
Lineage: Eukaryota; Viridiplantae; Streptophyta; Magnoliopsida; Malpighiales; Euphorbiaceae
Source: RNAcentral